Molecule: ribosomal RNA, 443 nt
Filed under: uncultured bacterium
Lineage: Bacteria
Description: partial 16S ribosomal RNA
Rfam family: Bacterial small subunit ribosomal RNA
Source: RNAcentral
CCUACGGGAGGCAGCAGUGGGGAAUAUUGCACAAUGGGCGAAAGCCUGAUGCAGCAACGCCGCGUGAAGGAAGAAGGGUUUCGGCUCGUAAACUUCUAUUAACAGGGACGAAAGAAAUGACGGUACCUGAAUAAGAAGCGCCGGCUAACUACGUGCCAGCAGCCGCGGUAAUACGUAGGGGGCAAGCGUUAUCAGGAAUUACUGGGUGUAAAGGGUGAGUAGGGGGCAUGGUAAGCCAGAUGUGAAAGUCUGGGGCUUAACCCGAAGAUUGCAAUUGGUACUAGCAAGCUAGAGUACAGGUGAGGAAGGCGGAAUUCCUGGUGUAGCGGUGAAAUGCGUAGAUAUUAGGAAGAACCCCGAUGGCGAAGGCAGCUUUCUAAACUGGAACUGACACUGAGGCACGAAAGCGUGGGGAGCGAACAGGAUUAGAUACCCUAGUAGUC